GACGGAUGAAUAAUUCUGUUUAUUACAAAAGACUGAAGAUAUAACUACCGCCAUCCUUUAAUUUAUUUAUUUAUACUUUGAGGACACUUUAUAAAACCUAUAGAGAUACCUGUCCAACGAACAACCUUCACAACAGGACGGAGCUGGCUUAAUGUUGCUUUGAAAUUCAAAAAGUAACGGUCACCUAAAUCAAAAGACGGGAACCCCAUUUUCUGAUUCGAAAUCUACAUACUCUACUGGCCCGGGCUCCAAUCUUACAGCCUGAGGGGAGGAAUAAACAAGAGUCUCCGGGAGAGACAGCCAGAGGUGGGAGGGGGAGAGCUGUACAGAGAUGGGGGUGGGAAGAAUGCAAGAAGAGCUCAUUUUUGUUGCUGAAACCUGAGCGUGCUGAGCCCUUGACUGAGAUUUCAGAGCGAAUAGGAAAGGCACUGUACAGGCAAGGGCCAUAUUUUGAAUAAUGCUCUGUAAGUGAUAUAUUUUCAAAGCGCUGCGUGAUAUCUGCCCAUAUGGUUAGGGUUUGUGCUGCUUUUGAUGUACAUGAGUGUAGACAAAGAUGAAA
Carassius auratus (goldfish) is the source of this 559-nucleotide long non-coding RNA. RefSeq lists it as uncharacterized. The record is from RefSeq and is a predicted model, not a curated record. The transcript has 3 exons. NCBI's taxonomy places the organism in Eukaryota, Metazoa, Chordata, Actinopteri, Cypriniformes, Cyprinidae.